Molecule: non-coding RNA, 160 nt
Filed under: Chlorocebus sabaeus (green monkey)
Lineage: Eukaryota; Metazoa; Chordata; Mammalia; Primates; Cercopithecidae
Description: Bacterial large subunit ribosomal RNA
Rfam family: Bacterial large subunit ribosomal RNA
Source: Rfam by way of RNAcentral
GAUAACAAUGCAAUCCUAUUCUAGAGUCCAUAUCAACAAUAGGGUUUACAGCUUUGAUGCUGGAUCAGGACAUCCUAAUGGUGUAGCGGCUGUUAAGGCUUCGUUUGUUCAGUGAUUAAAGUCCUAUGUGAUCUCAGUUCAGAUCAGAGUAAUCCAGGUC